GGAGGCUGAGGAGGAGGAUGGCUUAAACCCAGGAGAUGGAGGCUGCAAUGAGCUGAGAUCAUGCCACUGCACUCCAGCCUGGGCUACAGAGUCAGACUUUGGCUCAAAAACGACUAUAUAUAUAUAAAUGACUAUAUAUAUAUGUGUGUGUAAAAGUAAAAGUAAAAUAAAAUAAACCCAACUGUACCCCAGUCCUUCUUCAGAAGCUCCCUCUGGGUCUGAUGUGGGGUUUUCCUGCUGGUCAUUUCUCAUCUUGAUAAACCCAGAACUCUCAGUGACUACUCUGUUGAUGGACAAUCAUUGUCUCUCAUAUUUUGUCUCUCUCUCUCUCUCAAUCUUGGUUUUAAAAAAUACGUAUUUAUUGGAGAAAAUUUGAAACAUCAAGAUGCACAAAACAAAACAUAAGAAUCACAGAUGAGCUGUCUUCGUGAGACAAUUGCUGUUAACAAUUGGCAUGUCUUUCUAAUCUUUCAUCUAUGAUCAAAUGGACUAUUUAGCACAAUUGGGACCAUCCAUUAUGCACUUUUGGUUUGAAAGUUUUAGCACACUAGGGCUGGAGACAGGAUCUUUGGAGUCAUCCAGAAAGCUCCAAGUGUGAAACUAUUCCAGUUCUGAACAUAGGUGUGGACUUACAGGAUGAACGACGUCAGCAUAAAAAUGUAAGAUAUUCUCAUGUGAAAGAGAACCUAAGAAAUCUGCUCAGGGCCCUAACUGAGUAAUUUAAUCAUCAGAUCUGUUGAUUUCUUUCUACAACUGCCCACAGAUUGGAAUGCCAUUUUUUGUCAUUUAUUUAUUUAUGCAUUUAUCUAUUCAUUCAUUUAUUUAUUAAAUGGAGUUUAUUUUUCAGAGCAAGCUUAGGUUUACAGCAAAGUUGAACAUAAAGUACAGAGUUCUCAUAUACUUCCUCCCCCAUCAUUAACAUCUGGCACCUCAGUGAUAAAUUUGUAACAGUCCUUAGUCUCAUGAACCAACAAUGAUACAUCAUUAUCAAUAAAAGCCCACAGUUUACAUUAGUGUUGUGCUUUCUAUGAGUUUCGACAAAUACAUAAUGACAUGUGCUAUGG
Molecule: non-coding RNA, 1064 nt
Organism: Chlorocebus sabaeus (green monkey)
Lineage: Eukaryota; Metazoa; Chordata; Mammalia; Primates; Cercopithecidae
Source: RefSeq, a predicted model, not a curated record